GGAGAAGAGAACAGUUCAGGUUGGGAUAACUCAUGAUUUAAAUGACUCUGAAAUUUUGACUUUUUCUUUAAUGUCACAGUGCUGCAAAUAAUCUCACUGGCCCAUGAACAUGUAUUUUUAUAUUUUUAUUUUUUAAAACGGAAAGAUUUUUUCUAAUGAGCUGAGGACAGAUGCUUGAAUUUAUAGCCAGAAAGGGCUGACAGAGGUUUAGUCUGCAAUGCAGGUAGACACAGUAUUAGGAGCAGCAGAGAUUAGGUGCCAGGAUGCAGGAAUGUAGCAGCGUCUAGUUUUUAUGUGCAUCAAAAAACAAACAAACAAACAAACAAACAACAGCAGCAACAACAACAACAACAACCCACUCCACCCUUCCCAAUUCACAAACAAUAGCAAAAAUCAAGAAGGAGUGGGAAAGUCCUGUGAAAGAAGGGAAUCUAUUGAUCUUCUGAGCAGUGGAGGACUACAACACUGAAACCUUAAAACAUUGUUUUCAGCAAAGUCCAGUGUAACUUCUUUAGAUGCUAUGGUCUAUUUGUGCAGGUUUGUCUUCUUCUUUCCUGGGAAAAUCCAGCCAUUGCUGUACACCAGUCAGAAAAGAAUGAACCAAAGUCCUGAAUGGGUGGGUCAGCAGGAUCAUGGUUGACAACCAAGGAGAAAAGGUCAUAGAUCUCUUAGAUGAGAUUCAAUGAAACAGCUUGAGCACAUGCUCUUUAUUCAGGGUGAAUCAAGGGCGGUAUAUAUGAACCUUGGCAAAUGGAAUGGGGCUCUUUUUAUAGUGAAGUUUCAUUGUCUGAGGCUGAAGUUUCUGGAAAAACCAAAUUUGCAUGGGGAAACGUUCCAGAAAUCCCAGGUGCUUGCUGAGCAGGUUCUGAUCUGGAGAGAGGAAGGUGAACCUGUUAUUUUGCCAAGGACUACGUGACAUUUCUCAGAUAGGGCACUGGGGGUAGGGCUCCCCAUCUCAGGCAGAGAAGAGAAAGCCCAGGUAAGAAAAGAGAGGCCUUCAUUUUGGGCUGAGGUCAGGAAAGCUGUCUGGACAUGGUAGACUACAACCUUAGAAGCAAGGGGUAAUAAUCUGAACUGAAAGAGCUGAAGCUUUACAGUUUCAUGGGGUCCUUUCCUAAUUGCUGAUCGUAAUACCUGUACUAUCAGUGUUCUGUUCACAAAGUCUGUUCUUGGGCCAAAGAGUUUAAGGCUAUUCCUGCACUUUGUCUUCUAUCAGUUUUAGUACAUCUGAUUUUAUGUUAAGGCUUCUGAUCUACUUGGACUUGACAUUUGUGCAGGGUCAUAAGUAUGGAUCUUUUUGAAUUCUUCUACAUGCAAACAGCCAGUACGACCAGUGUCAUUUGUUGAAGAUGUUAUCCUGUUUCUCUCUGAAGUACAACUUGAAGCUUGUAGAGCCUUCAAGCAGCUCUUGAAUUGUUCAGGAUUGUUUCAGGUCCUGGAAUGACCUAUUUCUCCUACAUCUUCGAAGGCCUCGAUUGUGAUUCAUCUCCCAUCUCACAAACAUUACCGGUCCGCUGAGAGAGAACUGACCAUUCGCAUUGUGUUUCUCAUACAACAUCAUCUGGAUUUCUGCAAUCAACUUCCUGAUUUGUCUUCAGUGGCCCUGGAGAGAUUCUGUCUAGGAAGAUUAUGCGUUUUUUCCCCCUUGCUUAAAUUCUUAGAGUCCUCAUCACAUGCUAACUACAGAGCUUAAGAGUGGGAUAGCAUAGGGGAAAUGUGUACAAAUCUUGCUUAGUAAUUCCAAUCUAUGUGUCUUUUCCCAAACUAGAAAUGACUAAUCUAAAAGAUAACCACAGCUAACAUUGAAAGCAGGCAUAUCUUAACAACUGAACACAUAUUUAUCAUCCUGUUUUAUAAUACAUAUUUAUAACAGUGUCUUAUGGCACUAUUUUAUGUCCACACAAGAAAAUGGAAGCUGAGAAAAGAUAAAUAACUUAUAUAGGAUUACAAUAAAACGCAAUCCUAGCAGAACAAGAAGCAAAAUGGGUAUCCUGUAGAUCCCACAUCUAUACUCCUAAGCUUUGCAUUUAUUUAACUCACAAUACAGUGUUUAUUUCA
Rattus norvegicus (Norway rat) is the source of this 2058-nucleotide long non-coding RNA. RefSeq lists it as uncharacterized. NCBI's taxonomy places the organism in Eukaryota, Metazoa, Chordata, Mammalia, Rodentia, Muridae. The record is from RefSeq and is a predicted model, not a curated record.